CCCUUAGAUGUUCUGGGCCGCACGCGCGCUACACUGAUGGAUUCAGCGAGUUUCACAAUGCUUUAGGGUGUUGUAGUCCUUGGUCGGAAGGCCUGGGUAAUCUUGUAAAUGUCCAUCGUGAUGGGGCUAGAUUUUUGCAAUUUUGAAUCUCCAACGAGGAAUUCCUAGUAAACGCAAGUCAUCAGCUUGCAUUGAUUACGUCCCUGCCCUUUGUACACACCGCCCGUCGCUCCUACCGAUUGAAUGGUCCGGUGAAGCGUUCGGACCGUGGCCUUUGGACGGUUCGCCGUCUGUUGGCUGCGGGAAGUUCGUUAAACCUUAUCAUUUAGAGGAAGGAGAAGUCGUANCA
RNAcentral lists this ribosomal RNA (349 nucleotides) under uncultured eukaryote. RNAcentral describes it as "partial 18S ribosomal RNA". It matches the Rfam family "Eukaryotic small subunit ribosomal RNA", at positions 1470 to 1796 of the family's 1831-position model. The record is from RNAcentral.